RNAcentral lists this ribosomal RNA (429 nucleotides) under Bacillota bacterium. Its description in RNAcentral is "Firmicutes bacterium partial 16S ribosomal RNA". It matches the Rfam family "Bacterial small subunit ribosomal RNA", at positions 355 to 776 of the family's 1533-position model. Lineage: Bacteria; Bacillati; Bacillota. The record is from RNAcentral.
UAGGGAAUCUUCCGCAAUGGACGAAAGUCUGACGGAGCAACGCCGCGUGAGUGAUGAAGGCUUUCGGAUCGUAAAACUCUGUUGUUAGGGAAGAACAAGUUGGGUAGUAACUGACCCAACCUUCACGGUACCUAACCAGAAAGCCACGGCUAACUACGUUCCAGCAGCCGCGGUAAUACGUAGGUGGCAAGCGUUGUCCGGAAUUAUUGGGCGUAAAGCGCUCGCAGGCGGUCUUUUAAGUCUGAUGUGAAAGCCCACGGCUUAACCGUGGAGGGUCAUUGGAAACUGGAGGACUUGAGGACAGAAGAGGGGAGUGGAAUUCCAGGUGUAGCGGUGAAAUGCGUAGAUAUGUGGAGGAACACCAGGGGCGAAGGCGGCACUCUGGUCUGUAACUGACGCUGAGGAGCGAAAGCGUGGUUAGCGAACGGG